This 79-nucleotide transfer RNA is filed under the name Anguilla anguilla (European eel). RNAcentral describes it as "tRNA-OTHER". The record is from RNAcentral. Lineage: Eukaryota; Metazoa; Chordata; Actinopteri; Anguilliformes; Anguillidae.
GGCAGUGUAGCGUAAUGGGUAGGGAACUGGUCUUGCAACCGAAAGGUCGCAGGUUCGAUUCCCGGGUAGGACACUGCCG